This 76-nucleotide transfer RNA is filed under the name Candidatus Poseidoniales archaeon. RNAcentral describes it as "tRNA-Gly". It matches the Rfam family "tRNA". From Rfam's summary of the family: Transfer RNA (tRNA) molecules are approximately 80 nucleotides in length. Their secondary structure includes four short double-helical elements and three loops (D, anti-codon, and T loops). Further hydrogen bonds mediate the characteristic L-shaped molecular structure. tRNAs have two regions of fundamental functional importance: the anti-codon, which is responsible for specific mRNA codon recognition, and the 3' end, to which the tRNAs corresponding amino acid is attached (by aminoacyl-tRNA synthetases). tRNAs cope with the degeneracy of the genetic code in two manners: having more than one tRNA (with a specific anti-codon) for a particular amino acid; and 'wobble' base-pairing, i.e. permitting non-standard base-pairing at the 3rd anti-codon position. The record is from RNAcentral. Lineage: Archaea; Methanobacteriati; Thermoplasmatota; Candidatus Poseidoniia; Candidatus Poseidoniales.
GCAGGCGUGGUCUAGUCUGGUAUGACUAGGGGUUUCCAACCCCUCAACCUGGGUUCGAAUCCCGGCGCCUGCACCA